GGGCCUGUGGCGCAAAGUGAUAGCGCGCCUGACUAUGGAUCAGGAGAUUCCCGGUUCGAAUAAUGGCAGGCUCG
RNAcentral lists this transfer RNA (74 nucleotides) under Schistosoma mansoni. It matches the Rfam family "tRNA". From Rfam's summary of the family: Transfer RNA (tRNA) molecules are approximately 80 nucleotides in length. Their secondary structure includes four short double-helical elements and three loops (D, anti-codon, and T loops). Further hydrogen bonds mediate the characteristic L-shaped molecular structure. tRNAs have two regions of fundamental functional importance: the anti-codon, which is responsible for specific mRNA codon recognition, and the 3' end, to which the tRNAs corresponding amino acid is attached (by aminoacyl-tRNA synthetases). tRNAs cope with the degeneracy of the genetic code in two manners: having more than one tRNA (with a specific anti-codon) for a particular amino acid; and 'wobble' base-pairing, i.e. permitting non-standard base-pairing at the 3rd anti-codon position. Lineage: Eukaryota; Metazoa; Platyhelminthes; Trematoda; Strigeidida; Schistosomatidae. The record is from Rfam by way of RNAcentral.